This 829-nucleotide ribosomal RNA is filed under the name uncultured bacterium. Its description in RNAcentral is "bacterial SSU rRNA". It matches the Rfam family "Bacterial small subunit ribosomal RNA", at positions 32 to 851 of the family's 1533-position model. The record is from RNAcentral.
AACGCUGGCGGAAUGCUUUACACAUGCAAGUCGAACGGCAGCACGGGAGCUUGCUCCUGGUGGCGAGUGGCGAACGGGUGAGUAACACAUCGGAACAUGCCUAGUCGUGGGGGAUACCGUAGCGAAAGUUACGUUAAUACCGCAUACGUCCUGAGGGAGAAAGCAGGGGAUUCGCAAGAACCUUGCGCGAUUAGAGUGGCCGAUGCCUGAUUAGCUUGUUGGUGGGGUAAAGGCCUACCAAGGCGACGAUCAGUAGCGGGUCUGAGAGGAUGAUCCGCCACACUGGAACUGAGACACGGUCCAGACUCCUACGGGAGGCAGCAGUGGGGAAUUUUGGACAAUGGGGGCAACCCUGAUCCAGCCAUUCCGCGUGAGUGAAGAAGGCCUUCGGGUUGUAAAGCUCUUUCAGCGGGAACGAAACGGUACGCUCUAACAUAGUGUGCUAAUGACGGUACCCGCAGAAGAAGCACCGGCUAACUACGUGCCAGCAGCCGCGGUAAUACGUAGGGUGCGAGCGUUAAUCGGAAUUACUGGGCGUAAAGCGUGCGCAGGCGGCUUUUUAAGCCAGACGUGAAAUCCCCGGGCUUAACCUGGGAAUGGCGUUUGGAACUGGAAGGCUAGAGUGUGUCAGAGGGGGGUAGAAUUCCACGUGUAGCAGUGAAAUGCGUAGAGAUGUGGAGGAAUACCGAUGGCGAAGGCAGCCCCCUGGGAUAACACUGACGCUCAUGUACGAAAGCGUGGGUAGCAAACAGGAUUAGAUACCCUGGUAGUCCACGCCCUAAACGAUGUCAACUGGUUGUUGGGAGAGUGAAAUCUCUUAGUAACGAAG